GAAUGGUAGAAAUCAUAUAAAUCUCGGUGCGCUGCCGCGAAGCGGCAUUAACCGAUUCAUCUGUAGUAGUAAUUCGAUGAUGAGGAGUAGUGAGGUGGAAUGGAGAUGGGGGGAAGAGGUGAUCUACUGGAUGCUGGAUAUUGGGGUUAUCUCGGCGUUUGGCGCGAAGCGCCACUAACCGAUUCAUCGAUUCUGUUUUGUUGUAUUCUGGGAGGUCCUACAUAUCUUUGA
Non-coding RNA from Parasteatoda tepidariorum (common house spider), 231 nucleotides. NCBI's taxonomy places the organism in Eukaryota, Metazoa, Arthropoda, Arachnida, Araneae, Theridiidae. The record is from RefSeq and is a predicted model, not a curated record.